GAUUGAACGCUGUCGGCAUGCUUUACCCAUGCAAGUCGAACGGUAACAGGCCGCAAGGUGCUGACGAGUGGCGAACGGGUGAGUAAUGCAUCGGAACGUGCCCAGUCGUGGGGGAUAACUACUCGAAAGAGUAGCUAAUACCGCAUACGAUCUAUGGAUGAAAGCGGGGGACCGUAAGGCCUCGCGCGAUUGGAGCGGCCGAUGUCAGAUUAGGUAGUUGGUGGGGUAAAGGCUCACCAAGCCAACGAUCUGAAGCUGGUCUGAGAGGACGACCAGCCACACUGGGACUGAGACACGGCCCAGACUCCUACGGGAGGCAGCAGUGGGGAAUUUUGGACAAUGGGCGCAAGCCUGAUCCAGCAAUGCCGCGUGCAGGAAGAAGGCCUUCGGGUUGUAAACUGCUUUUGUACGGAACGAAACGGCUCUGGUUAAUACCCGGGGCUAAUGACGGUACCGUAAGAAUAAGCACCGGCUAACUACGUG
Molecule: ribosomal RNA, 483 nt
Filed under: uncultured bacterium
Lineage: Bacteria
Description: partial 16S ribosomal RNA
Rfam family: Bacterial small subunit ribosomal RNA
Source: RNAcentral